RNAcentral lists this ribosomal RNA (253 nucleotides) under uncultured bacterium. Its description in RNAcentral is "partial 16S ribosomal RNA". It matches the Rfam family "Bacterial small subunit ribosomal RNA", at positions 524 to 776 of the family's 1533-position model. The record is from RNAcentral.
CACGUAGGGUGCGAGCGUUGUCCGGAAUUAUUGGGCGUAAAGAGCUCGUAGGCGGUGUGUCGCGUCGGCUGUGAAAACUCGCAGCUCAACUGCGAGCCUGCGGUCGAUACGGGCAGGCUAGAGUUCGGUAGGGGAGACUGGAAUUCCUGGUGUAGCGGUGAAAUGCGCAGAUAUCAGGAGGAACACCGAUGGCGAAGGCAGGUCUCUGGGCCGAUACUGACGCUGAGGAGCGAAAGCGUGGGGAGCGAACAGG